Molecule: unclassified non-coding RNA, 352 nt
Filed under: soil metagenome
Description: partial contains 5.8S ribosomal RNA, internal transcribed spacer 2, and large subunit ribosomal RNA
Rfam family: 5.8S ribosomal RNA (bases 1-120)
Source: RNAcentral
GAUGAAGAACGCAGCGAAAUGCGAUAAGUAAUGUGAAUUGCAGAAAUCAGUGAAUCAUCGAAUCUUUGAACGCACAUUGCGCCCGCCAGUAUUCUGGCGGGCAUGCCUGUUCGAGCGUCAUUACAACCCUCAGGCCCCCGGGCCUGGCGUUGGGGAUCGGCGGAGCCCCCCGUGGGCACACGCCGUCCCCCAAAUGCAGUGGCGGUCCCGCCGCAGCUUCCAUCGCGUAGUAGCUAACACCUCGCGACUGGAGAGCGGCGCGGCCACGCCGUAAAACACCCAACUCUUCUGAAGUUGACCUCGAAUCAGGUAGGAAUACCCGCUGAACUUAAGCAUAUCAAUAAGCGGAGGA